AAUCCGUCGACUUUCUAAAUCGUGAGGGU
This 29-nucleotide transfer RNA is filed under the name Impatiens floribunda. Its description in RNAcentral is "partial tRNA-Leu". Lineage: Eukaryota; Viridiplantae; Streptophyta; Magnoliopsida; Ericales; Balsaminaceae. The record is from RNAcentral.